RNAcentral lists this ribosomal RNA (430 nucleotides) under Bacillota bacterium. RNAcentral describes it as "Firmicutes bacterium partial 16S ribosomal RNA". It matches the Rfam family "Bacterial small subunit ribosomal RNA", at positions 355 to 776 of the family's 1533-position model. Lineage: Bacteria; Bacillati; Bacillota. The record is from RNAcentral.
UGGGGAAUAUUGGACAAUGGGCGCAAGCCUGAUCCAGCCAUGCCGCGUGUGUGAAGAAGGCCUUUUGGUUGUAAAGCACUUUAAGCGAGGAGGAGGCUACUUGGAUUAAUACGCUAGGAUAGUGGACGUUACUCGCAGAAUAAGCACCGGCUAACUCUGUGCCAGCAGCCGCGGUAAUACAGAGGGUGCGAGCGUUAAUCGGAUUUACUGGGCGUAAAGCGUGCGUAGGCGGCUUCUUAAGUCGGAUGUGAAAUCCCUGAGCUUAACUUAGGAAUUGCAGUCGAUACUGGGAAGCUAGAGUAUGGGAGAGGAUGGUAGAAUUCCAGGUGUAGCGGUGAAAUGCGUAGAGAUCUGGAGGAAUACCGAUGGCGAAGGCAGCCAUCUGGCCUAAUACUGACGCUGAGGUGCGAAAGCAUGGGGAGCAAACAGG